This is a long non-coding RNA of Equus asinus (donkey), 2578 nucleotides long. The record is from Ensembl. Lineage: Eukaryota; Metazoa; Chordata; Mammalia; Perissodactyla; Equidae.
GGGACAGAUGCCAUGGCACUUUUAGUUAUCUCCUAUCAAAUAUAUUUAAAAUGUACCCACAUUCUGGUUAUAAACAAAGCUUAAAGAUUUUUAUAAUUUUACUCUAGUCAAAUGUAGUUCAUUUCAUUUAUGAUUGGUUAUAAUUUCUGAGCAAUCAUGUGGACUUGAGAACUCUCAUUGAGAUCUAACCUACAAGUUCUUCUCAAAUGUCACGAGAUGUUUAUGAAUUCCUGCUUUACCAACAAUUCCCCUAACCCUGCUCUAUUUUUUUCUUACAUCAAUCACACUUAUUAUCUCUAACAUACCAUAUAAUUUACUUAUUAUUGUGCCUGUUAUUGACCCACAGGGCAGGAAUAUUUGUCUGCUUAGUUCCAUCUGUUUCUUUAAUCGCUUUAGCACUUAUGCAUCCCUUGUGCCUAAAACGGUGCAUGGCACAAAGCAGCAGCUCCACAAAUAUUUGUUGAAUGAAUGGGAUAAAUGUGUGCUUCCAGGAAAAAAAUGAAGGAGUGAAUGAAGCCAUGAAUACUCAAUUGAACAGUUAGUGGAGAUUGACUGUAUUUUGAUUUUGUGGUUUUAUUUUUCAUUUUGGAGCCAGCUUUUUUUUUCAGGUUUCAAACAUUUCUGUAGGCUUGGGAGGCCUGAGGUUUUGUAUCUAUAUACCUAAAGGAUAAAAACAGUCCUGGAGAUUCAAAACAAUGUUUUGUUGCCUUUUCUUUUAUCUCUUAAAAACCAACAACAUCAACAAUGAGCAGGCUGCCUUAAAUAAGACUGGCAAUGAGGCAGGAAGCAUUAAAAAACAAAACAAAGCAAAAAAUUCCUGGCAGCUUUAAUAUAGCAAUUUUUCUAGCAAUCUGCAUUGGCGUCCAGGUCCAGUGCACCCCACUACAUAUGUAAAACAUCUGACAUGUAUGUGACAGGCCUGAACCCCUGGCUGUUAUGCUGAUUCCCAAACUGGGGUGCAUGAGAUAAAUGCAGGGACCAGGAACCAUCCCUCCAAGUCGAGCUGUGGCUCAGUUCUCAGCCGGGCCAAACGAGUAAUUAUAGCUUCCCACUGUGGUGUGCAGGGCAGGAGGCUGAUUUAAUAAAGGAAGCCUGCUGUCUGUCUCCAGCCUGGCUCUGACUCAUGGAACCAGGGAGUCCCAGCAGCGCUGCCCACAGAGGGUGGUGAGCAGCUGGGGGGUGGGAGGUGAGGGUGGCCGGCUAGCAAAGCCGAAAGCCCAAGAAUGAGGAAACUCCCUGCUUGGCUUGGAGGAACCUGCAGCUGGAGGCAGAGGAAGUGAGGCUCAGACAGAGCAGCUGCUGUUCCAGCAACUGCAGCCAUUGCCGCACCCUUGAAAGGAGGCCCCUGCCGUGUGGAGAUGUAAAAUAAAAUGGCGUUGUACUCCUCAGGCCCCACCAGACCUGGAUCUGCUCCUUUAUGGCUGGUCUCUGAGAGACCCAACCCUUGUUCAUAUUUAUGAUUCAUAAGCUUAAAAGAAAUGCAAGUGGUAUGGGGGAUGUGGCAUUUCCAUGUUGUCUCCACCAUGAACUCCAAAUCUGAAAUGUGUAGGAAGAUCCACAUUUGGCCAGGCAAGAACAACACCAUAAGGAAUGCGAUGUGAAAAGAAGGUGGAGGUCAGGAAUGUGCUGAAUUAUUGGGCCAAUUCCAAUUGCGUUCUGGAAUCCACUCUGGUACCUCGAGGGCUCUUCACUUUCCAGGUUUGAAUCUGGUUGCACAGCAUGGGGCAGUGGAGAAACAGUGGCUUGCAAUCUGGAAUUUAGUCCUGGGUGGUCUUGUCUUUUCUUUUUUUCUGUGGGGAAGAUUGGCCCUGAGCUAACAUCUGUUGCUAAUAUUCCUCUUUUUUUUAUCCUCUCCAAAGCCCCAGUACAUAGUGGUAUAUCCUAGUUGUAGGUCCUUCUAGUUCUUCUAUGUGGGAUGCCACCUCAGCAUGGCCUGAUGAGCACUGUGUAGGUCUGCACCUGGGAUCCAAACUGGAGAACACCAGGUCACUAAAGCAGAGCACACAAACCCAACCACUACGCCACUGGCCCAGCCCACUGGCUGGUCUUUUCUAGUCCUCUCUCACUAACUAGCUCUGCAGCGUUGAUGGAAUUUCUUAGCCUCUGUGGGCCUAAAUUUCUCUACAUUUAAGGUACUGUAGGUGAUUUCAGAGUGCAUCCCUCAAACUGCCUUGUCCACCACUGUAUUCCCAUGAGUACAAUGUCUAAUAAAAAUAAUUAUCACUGGGGCCGGCCUGGUGGUGUAGUGGUUAAGUUCACUUGCUCUGCUUCGGUGGCCCAGGGUUUGCAGGUUCAGAUCCCAGGCGCAGACCUACAUACAGCUCAUCAAGCCGUGCUGUGGCAGUGUCCCAACUACAAAAAAUAGAGGAAGAUUGGCACUGAUGUUAGCUCAAGGACAAUCUUCCUCAGGCAAAAAAAGACAAAGAUUGGCAACAGAUGUUAGCUCAGGCCCAAUCUUCCUCACCAAAAAAACAGGAAUUAUCAUUAUUUUGUAUUAAUAGCAAAAAUUUACAUAGUGCUUAUGGAUGAGAAAACUGAAGUACAGAAUUCUUACAUAAAUUUCCCCAGAUCAUCCAGG